RNAcentral lists this long non-coding RNA (1052 nucleotides) under Callithrix jacchus (white-tufted-ear marmoset). Its description in RNAcentral is "lncRNA (ENSCJAG00000086973.1)". Lineage: Eukaryota; Metazoa; Chordata; Mammalia; Primates; Cebidae. The record is from RNAcentral.
AUGGGGACAAGUCAUCCUAGUGACCUCACACUGACACAGUCACUAGGCCCUGCCUCUGGGUGUUUCAGAGAAAACUCCAGACAGAGGGGUAUGGAAACGCUCCAAGGGCUGCCUUAUCUAGGGUAAAAGCCACGCGACACUCUGUGAGGGCCAGAUCAGGGUCGUUGGACUGCUGAUAGGGACACCAAGGCCGAGGUCAGGGUCCCUCUGUGCUAGUCCUAAGCCACACAAGCCCCUGAAUUUCUGGACCUCACGGCAUCCUGAGUCUCGGCUCCCCUCCAUACCAUCCCGGGGAAUCUGCCUGGGGCUCUCAUGGCUAGACACAGAGCAGGAGCCCAGGUAGCUCUACAGCCUAAGGAAGACACCCAGGAAACCGAAGCAUGGGAAAGCACUGGGAAAUCCCCACUCCAGUCCUAAACCUGCUGGAGCAGGGUCCCAGCAACUGUUUCCCCAACCCAGAAGCGCAGCACCUGCCCAGCCAGGAACUUAGAGAAAUGAAGGCCUCCCCUAAUCCCAGGACAGUAAUACUGUUUUUUUCCCUGUUUACAGACAAGAACCCUGGGCUCAGAGCCAUUUGGUCACAUGACCAGGGCCCUCUCUGCAAAAGAGGCAGAGCCAAGUCCCCUGACCCCAAAGUGCAGGCCUCACAGUACUGUCAGAGCGCCUGAAUGGUGGAGGGGGCUGAGGGCUUUCUUCCCAGCCCAGAUCAUCUUGCCCCACGCCUCAGCCUUGAGCAUCUACCCAGGAAGAGACCUACUCUUCAUCUGCAGGCACUGAAGGCCCAUUUCACACAUCACCAUCUGGGUUGGUCUAGGAGAGCCUUAGAAAGCUGGAGAUUUUUCUCGACAAAGCAGCCUGGGUUAUUUCAGAGGAGGAACCUGCUGCAAGGAGAAGCAGAAACUUGGGCCCAUCCUCCAGGCCUCAGCAUUCCAGAGGCCAGAUGUGUGAGCCUGACGUCAUCCACCAAGUCAUGGCCCCACUCCAGGCUGCCCUCCGCUGGCUUGCAAACCCUGUUCCUCCAUGCUGUCUCCUCCUCCCUUUCUUCGGCAUGA